UGAUUAAAAAUAUUUCUUAGGUUUGAAAAAAAGAAAAAGAAGUUUUGGCUACUGUCUUUUAGUACUUGUCUUGUAGAAGUAUGGAAUACAAGUUUAUAUUUGGACCUACGGAGAAGCAGCAUCAAGAAAGAAAAUUAACAUAGGGAAGUGGUUGCAUAACCAGAACUCUGAACAGUACCAUUAAAGUGCAGUUGUAGUGAAGAAACUAUUACAUUGGCUUACAAACCUACUACUUUACUAGGUAUAGUAUUUAUCCUGUUAUUUAUCUGGCAUGCUGCUUGUUUAAUUGUGACUGCUUA
Molecule: non-coding RNA, 299 nt
Organism: Chrysemys picta bellii (western painted turtle)
Lineage: Eukaryota; Metazoa; Chordata; Testudines; Emydidae
Source: RefSeq, a predicted model, not a curated record